UACGUAGGGUGCGAGCGUUGUCCGGAAUUAUUGGGCGUAAAGGGCUCGUAGGCGGUUUGUCGCGUCGGGAGUGAAAACCUUGGGCUUAACCCAGGGCUUGCUUUCGAUACGGGCAGACUAGAGGUAUGCAGGGGAGAACGGAAUUCCUGGUGUAGCGGUGAAAUGCGCAGAUAUCAGGAGGAACACCGGUGGCGAAGGCGGAUCUCUGGGCCGAUACUGACGCUGAGGAGCGAAAGCGUGGGGAGCGAACAGG
Molecule: ribosomal RNA, 253 nt
Filed under: uncultured bacterium
Lineage: Bacteria
Description: partial 16S ribosomal RNA
Rfam family: Bacterial small subunit ribosomal RNA
Source: RNAcentral